This 376-nucleotide ribosomal RNA is filed under the name uncultured bacterium. RNAcentral's name for it is "bacterial SSU rRNA". It matches the Rfam family "Bacterial small subunit ribosomal RNA", at positions 523 to 898 of the family's 1533-position model. The record is from RNAcentral.
AUACGUAGGCGGCAAGCGUUGUCCGGAAUUAUUGGGCGUAAAGAGCAUGUAGGCGGCUUUUUAAGUCUAUCGUGAAAAUGCGGGGCUUAACCCCGUAUGGCGGUAGAAACUGGAGAGCUUGAGCGCAGGAGAGGAAAGGGGAAUUCCCAGUGUAGCGGUGAAAUGCGUAGAUAUUGGGAGGAACACCAGUGGCGAAGGCGCCUUUCUGGACUGUGACUGACGCUGAGAUGCGAAAGCCAGGGGAGCGAACGGGAUUAGAUACCCCGGUAGUCCUGGCCGUAAACGAUGGGUACUAGGUGUGGGAGGUAUCGACCCCUUCCGUGCCGGAGUUAACGCAAUAAGUACCCCGCCUGGGGAAUACGGCCGCAAGGUUGAA